RNAcentral lists this ribosomal RNA (504 nucleotides) under uncultured bacterium. RNAcentral's name for it is "partial 16S ribosomal RNA". It matches the Rfam family "Bacterial small subunit ribosomal RNA", at positions 30 to 523 of the family's 1533-position model. The record is from RNAcentral.
AUUGAACGCUGGCGGCAGGCCUAACACAUGCAAGUCGAACGGUAGCACAGAGAGCUUGCUCUCGGGUGACGAGUGGCGGACGGGUGAGUAAUGUCUGGGAAACUGCCCGAUGGAGGGGGAUAACUACUGGAAACGGUAGCUAAUACCGCAUAACGUCGCAAGACCAAAGUGGGGGACCUUCGGGCCUCACACCAUCGGAUGUGCCCAGAUGGGAUUAGCUAGUAGGUGGGGUAAUGGCUCACCUAGGCGACGAUCCCUAGCUGGUCUGAGAGGAUGACCAGCCACACUGGAACGGAGACACGGGCCAGACUCCUACGGGAGGCAGCAGUGGGGAAUAUUGAACAAUGGGCGCAAGCCUGAUGCAGCCAUGCCGCGUGUAUGAAGAAGGCCUUCGGGUUGUAAAAUACUUUCAGCGGGGAGGAAGGCGGUGAAGUUAAUAACUUCACCGAUUGACGUUACCCGCAGAAGAAGCACCGGCUAACUCCGUGCCAGCCGCCGCCAUAA